This 411-nucleotide long non-coding RNA is filed under the name Olea europaea (common olive). RNAcentral's name for it is "long non-coding RNA (OEUR_LNC009635)". Lineage: Eukaryota; Viridiplantae; Streptophyta; Magnoliopsida; Lamiales; Oleaceae. The record is from RNAcentral.
UUUAGUAAUUUACACGAUGGCUUCAUACAAUUAUGGCAAAAAAUGAGACAUUCUCAUAACUCUAUAAAUAUCAUUUCAUAUUCACGAUAUAGUCAUCUGCUGGUAUCUAUACAAUCAUCUCAUCACAUUACAUGUGAUUCACAAAAAAUGUACUCUCUGAUUAAAAUCUGAAAUCCGUCCAUCGGGCCAAGCACUUUCGCCAUAGGCCUUUGGCCCUCUCUGUGCACGAAAGUUGGUCUCAAGGACCUCUAAUAAUAAUUCUAGAACACGGUCAAAGCCUCUUAGUGAACCAUAUGUACAUAGUCACAACCUCUUCAUCCUCAGUCGAGCCCUCAGUGUAGUAUAGAACACUACCAAUGCUCCUCUGUGAACUAGAAGAAGUAUAUAAUCACGGUUACUUUUCUGAUUAAU